UACUUCGAGAAAAUUCGGACGAAGUAUGGAGGUUAUGGAAAAUUUUACGCUUUGCCCAACAACCUCGCCACCAACACGUGGUAUCACUACUGCCAGGUGCGGGACGUCACUAAUGGACUGGCCCAGGUAUACUUGCAGGGCGAUCUCCUCGCGAACGAAUCCUUUGCAUUCGCAUCUGACAACAUAACACGUCGUGUAUUUAUUGGCCAGGAUGAAUUUGAGCCGCCGUACUCACUGAGCGGGGAUGUGACUCAGCUGAAUGUGUGGAAGUCAGCGCUGUCAGCG
This is a long non-coding RNA of Hyalella azteca, 285 nucleotides long. RefSeq lists it as uncharacterized. NCBI's taxonomy places the organism in Eukaryota, Metazoa, Arthropoda, Malacostraca, Amphipoda, Hyalellidae. The transcript is spliced from 3 exons. The record is from RefSeq and is a predicted model, not a curated record.